CUAGACCAUAGUAACUCAAACUAAUGUCGAAAUUUGUUGGAUUUUAUUUGAGACAGUCACUAGAUGUCACCACUCUUUCUAUCUCAAUUGAAUAGAAAUCUACUAAUAUUUUUUUAGCUACGCUAUAAUAGAUGGUGCCGCGAUAACUAAAGUCAGCGUCCAUUUUGUUCCUCUAAAUUCAGUCUACCAGUGUUGCAAUAUCUCAUAGACAGUGAUAUAGUGGCAAUAAGUGUAUUUACACCUACAGUUUAGUGUUUCCGUGAAGAAUAUUAAUAUUUUUACCGUAUAGGAAAUCUAUAAAAUAUUCGAGAUGUCUGGAAACUGGAAAUAUAUGUGCGUAUUUUAAGUAUGGUUUAUCACCUUAUAAAAGUCCUGGAUUAAGACUCUUCAGAUUUCCAAUAAAAAAUCUUUUGACUUGUAAAAAAUGGAUAGUACACUCUGGGAAUGCCGCAUUGGGAAUUCUCGAGUUUAGCGAGCGGAUUUAAAAAAAAUAUAUACAGUAAGCAUUUUGAUGAAAUUUUUUUAAACAACGAAAUAUUUAUCCGCUACUGCUGUACCAAAAAAAUACAGUGAGGAAGAAGAGGAAGCUUUGUUACCGACACCACGUGUUUUACAUACGUAUUCGAGAACAAAACAACCAUCAACCAGUGACGAUAUAGUUUCUAACAGUGAUAAUUCUGAACUUAACGAUUUUGUCGCUAUCACCAUUGGUCAAGAAAAAAAAUUUAUAAUUAUCAUACACUUGAAAGGAAAUUGUCUGCAUCUCGAAAACGGAUUAAUCUUCUGGAAACUCGUAUAACAGUACUAAAAAGGAGUCCGGUUAAGAUUGGACAAAAUCUGU
This 841-nucleotide long non-coding RNA is filed under the name Diabrotica virgifera virgifera (western corn rootworm). RNAcentral describes it as "uncharacterized LOC126892522". Lineage: Eukaryota; Metazoa; Arthropoda; Insecta; Coleoptera; Chrysomelidae. The record is from RNAcentral.